Molecule: long non-coding RNA, 167 nt
Organism: Dermochelys coriacea (leatherback sea turtle)
Lineage: Eukaryota; Metazoa; Chordata; Testudines; Dermochelyidae
Exons: 3
Source: RefSeq, a predicted model, not a curated record
CAUCAGAUGAGCAUCUGACAAGGCCCUGCUCCCUCCUCAUGUCCAGGCCACCUGGCCAGUGGCUUGGCAUAAGAAACUCUGAAACUGGUAACUAUGAUAAAAACCUUGCAGAACGUGUGUGUGUGUGUGUGUGUGUGUGUGUGUGUGUGUAUGAAUGAAUGAAGUGU